This 497-nucleotide ribosomal RNA is filed under the name uncultured bacterium. RNAcentral's name for it is "partial 16S ribosomal RNA". It matches the Rfam family "Bacterial small subunit ribosomal RNA", at positions 28 to 507 of the family's 1533-position model. The record is from RNAcentral.
GAUGAACGCUGGCGGCGUGCCUAAUACAUGCAAGUCGAGCGAACGGACGAGAAGCUUGCUUCUCUGAUGUUAGCGGCGGACGGGUGAGUAACACGUGGAUAACCUACCUAUAAGACUGGGAUAACUUCGGGAAACCGUAGCUAAUACCGGAUAAUAUUUUGAACCGCAUGGUUCAAAAGUGAAAGACGGUCUUGCUGUCACUUAUAGAUGGUUCCGCGCUGCAUUAGCUAGUUGGUAAGGUAACGGCUUACCAAGGCAACGAUGCAUAGCCGACCUGAGAGGGUGAUCGGCCACACUGGAACUGAGACACGGUCCAGACUCCUACGGGAGGCAGCAGUAGGGAAUCUUCCGCAAUGGGCGAAAGCCUGACGGAGCAACGCCGCGUGAGUGAUGAAGGUCUUCGGAUCGUAAAACUCUGUUAUUAGGGAAGAACAUAUGUGUAAGUAACUGUGCACGUCUUGACGGUACCUAAUCAGAAAGCCACGGCUAACUACGUG